AAAAUCAAGCUCGUCUGGAAUUAUUGUUUUCGACUUUUCGUGAGAUUCAUUCCUCCUGUUUAUCGCUUAGCACCUCUUCUUAUCCCUACCGUUGACAACAGCUGUUGAGAAUUGUUUGAUUGAUGAACCUGAAUAGUCAUUGAAUAGCAGAUUUCUCGACGCUUCGGAAUUGUAGUUUUCUUGAAUCCGGUGCACGAAUUUGCAGAGGGAUUGUGCUCUUCCCCACGCAAAUAUAUCUGCGGAAUUCUUCUUCUUACUUUUUCAAUGAUCUUUCUUCAAGUUCUCUUAUCUCUCUUUUGCCGACUCUCUGUCUUCACUCGCCAUCGUUUCCCAGCCGAACUUCGAACAAAAGUGCCAUAUCCGCCGCUCUGAAAUCUAAAAAGAAUCACAAAUACCUUUUGAGCUUGAACUUUCAGGAGUUGCUUUAGUUGGAAGGAGCUGUCAAGCUUUUGCAGGAUAUGUACCCUCAAGGGGUGACAGUGAUGGCCUGAACUAAAAUAUGCGCAUAACAUUCUUCUGAUUCUCUGAUCCAAUUUUGAAUAAAGUUGUUUUCAAACUCUUGUAGUUGGAUGUUAAUCUUAUCAAUUAUCAUAGUUGGAUUUUUGAGUCUUGGAUUCUGAUUUCUGAGGUUGUGGAGUUCAUGCUUUUACACAUUGUGGGGGUGGUGUGGUUAUUUACUACUUCUCCAUUACGCGGAUCGUGUUAGGUGCAAAUUUAUUUGAACUUCUCAUCUUCUGCGUUGGAUUAAUGGGUAGAAUUUGUGAAUGCAGGUUCCAAUAUAUCUUGACAUUGAACAUUCAGCACAGGUUGAUGUGGCAAGAUCAGAAAAAGUUAUAAAUGCAGAUAUGAAACCGGAGUUCCUAGGAAAAAAAAAAGCUUGCUUUUCUUAAUUGGGUUCAAAUGCUUUUCAUGACAAGGAUUGUUCACCAGGUCAAUUUAGAAUGCCUUGGACAAGUUGUUCUUAACACAAAUGGUUUGUUUUAGCCUGAUAGUUAUUGGAACAGAUUCAGACACAACCAUGAUAGAUGGUUUAGGUGUAGCUGGCUGGGGAGUUGUUGCGUGGAAGCAGAAGCUACAAUGCUUGGCCAGACACCAAUCUGUUAGGACCUUGGGCUUAAUACAAGAGGGGGUGAAUUGUAUAAAGAACAACACGCUAUGCUCAAGAAUGAAACUAUGUUCAGACAAGAAGGAUGGGACUGAAUUCUUGGGCUCGCCUCAAUAAAUCAAUAUGAGAGGUUCUGAUGAGUUAAUCUGCCUAAGAGAAACCUGUUGUUACAGGCAAACCAAGGGCACACAUUAACUACCUAAAUAUUACCAAAAAUGAUUUGGGGCCUUGAACGGUGCAUCACAGUGCCUUAUUGGAGGCAUUAGCAGAAGAAUUGCCUUUCGACACUUCGACACAAUCCUGUUCUCAUGGAAGAUCACUGGGAUUGAGACUAAUUCAAAACAAGUUCUUUGAUCGCUUCAAUUAACAUGGAAGAUGGAACUACUAUCAAAACUAAGGAAUACAAAAGGGUAAUGCCCUCAGACUACACUGUGGUUGUACAAGUUUUAGCCCCUCAAGCCCUCAUGCAAAGGUGCAUUCACACCAUAUAAACAAUGAGCUGAAGAUGCUGCAGAGAUUUGGCUCAGGAAUUCAGGAUGAUGUGCAAGCCCUCUUUGCUUUGAAGUGUUUGUUAUUAAAUAUGAAGCUUGCAUCAAGACUGAAAUUUUUUUUUCCAAGGAUGUUCAACAUGAUAGACCUGAGGUUAAUGUAGACUAAUUAGAUUGCAAUUUUGUUUUGGUUAAUUAUUCUACUUGGCAUUUGCUUUAAUGUUUCUAGGUUUUGAAUAAAGAAAUUGAUGAAUCCCAGUUUAUUUUUGUUUGGAUAGAAUGUGAGUUUAUAAUGAUAACUCUUAACUUAUUUUCCA
This is a long non-coding RNA of Tripterygium wilfordii, 1910 nucleotides long. RefSeq lists it as uncharacterized. NCBI's taxonomy places the organism in Eukaryota, Viridiplantae, Streptophyta, Magnoliopsida, Celastrales, Celastraceae. The transcript has 9 exons. The record is from RefSeq and is a predicted model, not a curated record.